UCCACCAAUAGACUUGGCGUUUCGGCGCGUA
RNAcentral lists this small RNA (31 nucleotides) under Bombyx mori (domestic silkworm). RNAcentral describes it as "ovarian small RNA-26639". Lineage: Eukaryota; Metazoa; Arthropoda; Insecta; Lepidoptera; Bombycidae. The record is from RNAcentral.